Molecule: long non-coding RNA, 2167 nt
Filed under: Marmota monax (woodchuck)
Lineage: Eukaryota; Metazoa; Chordata; Mammalia; Rodentia; Sciuridae
Source: RNAcentral
AAAGGAAUUGUGUCCAUUUACAACUAUAAACAAACAAAUAAAUAAAUAAUAAAAUAAUACCACGUCAUAAUUUGUAACAAUUUAAUAGGCAACAUCUAAUUUGGUUUUGAACCAUGUGUGGAAAAGGGUAUGCUAUUGCAAGACACCUAGAAAAAAUGAGAUAAUGCCAGUCCUAAAAACAUUCUUUAAAGUUGUGAACCCGCUCGUUCAUAGCAUCUUCAUUUAAUUUCCUGUUAGAUGUCAAGUAUAGUCCUGCUAUUUGCCAAGGACUAAGUCUGGAUCUGUGAAGAAUUUGCCAUUUUUUGAAGAAUAACUCAGUGUUGGUAAGAUGUGUUCCAAGCCUCUCUGACCUCUCCCCAUUUCUCCUCAGCUCUUCUUACUCCUUUUUUGACACUUCACUUAUCUCUAGCCUCCACCAGUUUGGCAUCCUAAUCAGUUACUUCUCUGGCUUCCUGCUAACAUGAGAUAACUUAGUUAAAACAGUUUGAUAGAAAACAAAUUGCUUACAAGAAAAUUUUUUUCACCCUGAGAAAUUAGUCCAAAAUUAUUAUUUCUGACCACUGUUUUUUUGUGUGUUUGGUAAUUUUGGUGGCCAAGGAUUUGUUUUCCUGCUUCUUUAGAUCUUUGAGGAUUUUUUUAAUACACAUAUAUAUAAGCAAGUUUUUCAGGGAUUUAUAAUACUAUUUUCUAGUGUGUGUGUAUGGUGCUCAGGGCCUCACACAUGCUAGACAAAUACUAUACCUCUGAGCUAUAGCUUAUAUUUUAAACUAUUGAUAGUAUGGGACAUUUACAUUGUUUCCUUAUAAUUUUCUAAAAUUAAUUUAGAUUUAAGAACAACAUUUUUUAAAAUUAUAAUAAAGUGUAAUGAAUGAUUAAGACUUUAAGGGCAGCAAGACAUUCUAUAUAGAAAACAAGUACUUGGGAAUAUUUCUUUUUUAAAUUUUGUUUUUAAUAUUUUUUAGUUGUGGUUAAACACAAUACAUUUUAUUUGUUUUUAUGUGGUGCUACGGAUCAAACCCAGGGCCGAGCCACAACCCCAGCCCAAGAGAAUAUUCCUUUUUGACCUACUUAUCCUCUAAUUCAGUUUGUUUCACCCAGAUCACCCAAUCCUCUCUUUAUUGCAUUUCAGUUCCCAUCACUUCACUCUGUUCUAUGAUUUCGUAUGGCUUUUCUCCCACUCCUUGUCUCAGGCAGCAUAAGGCAGUGUUGGCCUAUGCUUUUGGUUACCUAUACCACUGUUUAGGAUCUUCCCUUGCAAGCAUUCCUUCUAUACAUGUUCCUACCUAUUUACUAAACCUUUUCCUUCCUUUACUCUGACUAAUGAAGUCCUAACCUUGAGCAUCUUUUUUCCUUCCUCCCUUCAUCCUUCUCUUCCUUCCUGCCUAUAGUAAAGUAUUUUUAGGCAGAUGUAAUGAAUGCAGGUUAAUAAAAACAAUAAUUUGAUGACAGCUAAGAUUUAUGGAAUACUUAAUAUUUGCCAGUAUUAGUUGGAUGCAGUGGCACACACCUGUAAUCCCCAUGACUCAGGAAUCUGAGGCAGAAGGAUUGCAAGUUCAAGGUCAGCCUCAGUAACUUAGACCCUCAGCAGGUUAGCAAGAUCCUGUCUCAAAAAAUAAAAAGGAAAUGGGCCAUGUAUGUAUAAUACAUCAAAACAUACUCUACUGUUAUGUAUAUCUAAAAAAAAAAAAAAAAAAAAAAGGAAUGGGGAUGUACUCAGAGGCAAGGUACCCCUGGGUUCAAUUAUGUAUAUCUCUAUCUAAUCUACACAUGCAUACAUACAUACAUACACACAUAUGCCUGCAUGCCAGGCUUCCUUCUAAAUACUUGGUAUGUAUUGACUCAUGAACUCCUCACAAAAAUGCUGUAAACUAGAUACUGCUAUAAUCCCAUUUUAUAAACAGAUACAGAGAAAUUAAGUAUCUUCCCAAGAUCAUAUAGAAUUGUCAGUAUUAUCUGGAAUCAUUAAGAAAUAGUCAUCAUAGCUGGGCAUGGUGGUGCAAACCUGAAAUCCCAGCAGCUCAGGGGGCUGAGGCAGGAGGAUUGCAAGUUCAAAGCCAGCCUCAGCAAAAGCGAGGUGCUAAGCAACUCAGUGAGACCCUGUCUCUAAAUAAAAUACAAAAUAGGGCUGGGGUGUGUCUCAGUGGUUGAGUGCUCCUGAGUUCAAUCU